CAAGCACAACCUUCACAUGACGACACCGUCAUUUGCCGAUUAUACAUGAAGUCGUAUGCAAACAAAGGUAAUACAAGAAAUUUACAGCAGCAUUUCGACAAACAUCACCGUAACACUGAUGAAACUAGUCAUACUGUAUCUAGUUCAAAAUAAGAUAAACAAGAUCAACAAGGAAAGGUGGCGUUCAAUGAAUGCAGCCCCCACCCGAACCAGUACCAAGAGCCAGCGACAAGGAGCCCAGACCUACCUUAGUCCAGAGAAAGUGAAAGCAAUAAUUUUUUUUAAAAUGAACAUGGAUUCUUACUGUUAGAUUUGUGCUUCUUCAAGCUUAGUGAUAGUUAAAGUUUAUUGUGAAUUUAAAUGGUUAAAAAGAGCUAAAUUGCUAUUGUUAAGGAGAUUAUGCUUUGUCUAAACGUUUCAUUUAACUUUUUUUUUAGGUUUUACAAACAAUUGAUAUGUAAAUCUAGUCUGUGGUUUGUAAUAUAUGAUCAUAUAUUAUAAGCAAAUGAAAGAAUAGAUAUUUGAAAAGAUG
This is a long non-coding RNA of Ruditapes philippinarum (Manila clam), 532 nucleotides long. RefSeq lists it as uncharacterized. The record is from RefSeq and is a predicted model, not a curated record. NCBI's taxonomy places the organism in Eukaryota, Metazoa, Mollusca, Bivalvia, Venerida, Veneridae. The transcript has 2 exons.